GACGAACGCUGGCGGCGUGCUUAACACAUGCAAGUCGAACGGAAAGGCCCUGCUUUUGUGGGGUGCGCGAGUGGCGAACGGGUGAGUAACACGGGAGUAACCUGCCCUGGAGUUUGGGAUAACUUCAGGAAACUGGGGCUAAUACCGGAUAUGAGCUCCUGCUGCAUGGGGGGGGUUGGAAAGUUUCGGCUGUUGGGGAUGGACUCGCGGCUUAUCAGCUUGUUGGUGGGGUAGUGGCUUACCAAGGCUUUGACGGGUAGCCGGCCUGAGAGGGUGACCGGCCACAUUGGGACUGAGAGACGGACCAGACUCCUAUGGGAGGCAGCAGUGGGGAACAUUGCCCAACGGGCGGAAGCCUAAUGCAGAAACGCCGCGUGCGGGAUGACGGCCUUCGGGUUGUAAACAGCUUCUGCCUGUGACGAAGCGUGAGUGACGGUAACGUGUAAAGAAGCACCGGCUAACUACGUG
RNAcentral lists this ribosomal RNA (468 nucleotides) under uncultured bacterium. RNAcentral's name for it is "partial 16S ribosomal RNA". It matches the Rfam family "Bacterial small subunit ribosomal RNA", at positions 28 to 507 of the family's 1533-position model. The record is from RNAcentral.